RNAcentral lists this ribosomal RNA (390 nucleotides) under uncultured bacterium. RNAcentral's name for it is "bacterial SSU rRNA". It matches the Rfam family "Bacterial small subunit ribosomal RNA", at positions 28 to 417 of the family's 1533-position model. The record is from RNAcentral.
GACGAACGCUGGCGGCGUGCUUAACACAUGCAAGUCGAGCGGUAAGGCCCUUUCGGGGGUACACGAGCGGCGAACGGGUGAGUAACACGUGGGUGACCUGCCCUCAGCUCUGGGAUAAGCCUGGGAAACUGGGUCUAAUACUGGAUAUGACUCCACGGUGCAUGUCGGUGGGGUGGAAAGCCUUGUGCGGCUGAGGAUGGGCCCGCGGCCUAUCAGCUUGUUGGUGGGGUGANGGCCUACCAAGGCGACGACGGGUAGCCGGCCUGAGAGGGCGACCGGCCACACUGGGACUGAGACACGGCCCAGACUCCUACGGGAGGCAGCAGUGGGGAAUCUUGCGCAAGUGGGCGAAAGCCUGACGCAGCGACGCCGCGUGAGGGAUGACGGCCU